Molecule: non-coding RNA, 232 nt
Organism: Styela clava
Lineage: Eukaryota; Metazoa; Chordata; Ascidiacea; Stolidobranchia; Styelidae
Source: RefSeq, a predicted model, not a curated record
AAUUUCAUUACUGGUGCUGUUGCAAGCUGUAGAUAUGGUUUCAUGCCAAAAAAGAAUAGGGGGCAGAGGAGGGAGAGGAGGAGAAUUUGGAGAAGGCUUCGUGGAACAGCUGGAGAAUAAAAUCCUUGAAGAAUAAUGAGCUGUUUUGCCUGAAGAUCAGAAUAUGCAUGGAAAUAUAUUGUGUAUAACAUUAUUUUAAAUGUAUCUGAGAGGCAAUAAAUAAAAGUUGUAU